Xiphophorus hellerii (green swordtail) is the source of this 7125-nucleotide long non-coding RNA. RefSeq lists it as uncharacterized. The record is from RefSeq and is a predicted model, not a curated record. The transcript has 8 exons. NCBI's taxonomy places the organism in Eukaryota, Metazoa, Chordata, Actinopteri, Cyprinodontiformes, Poeciliidae.
GACAGCCAUGUUUUAGUCUCUGUCCUUUGGUGCGAGAUAAGGAUACGUACGGAGAGGUUGUUCAAGAUUAAAGCCAAAGCAGAGUUCCAAUCCUGUGUGAUGCAUUGCUUGUGUAAAACACAACAAGGACCUUCGUUCGGGUAUUUAUUUAUUUUCACUGCUAGCUGAAAGAAAAUUGCACCAUGUGCACCGGCUUCGCGGUCCGAGCACGUGGGCUGGCAAGGACACAAGAAAUGGAGGCUGACCAAAUGGGGGUUCGUUUUUAAUCGGUUCAUACAACCCGGCUGAUUCUGAAGAACAAAGCAACAAUCAUGAGCAUCAAGAUGGAUGCCGAGUGGCUGCUGGUUAAGUCAGUAGUUAUUAGGUGAUGCUGCAGUGUUGAAUGAGAAUCACAUCUACUGAUGCCAUGUCAUGCAAAUUGCUCCUGUUUGUUAGCCCACAGUUUCCAAGACUGCUUCCAUGGUUACUGGAGAAAGGCACCCAUUCGGUGAUGUAGCCAUAGACGGAAUGUCUUGCUUCAGAUCAUCUGCUCUUGUCCGUGGGGAUGUUUGGAAAGUGAACUCUGAAUGAAAGCUAAAGCUUCACUGAUCAUCAUUCUGGCUAUAUACAAACUAGAGGGCUGUUUCACAAAUCCAGGAUAGCGGAUUAAGCUGGGAUUUUCUGGAUAUCCUGUCUUAAUUAAACCUCAAUUCAGUGUUACAAAAAAGUUACCAUGGUGAUUUAUUCUGUGAAGCUAGCCUGCUCCAGACCAGGCUAGCAGCUAGGCUUAGUUAAGCCUGGAAUUGUAUCUGUUCAGUCAGCAGUCACAGCAAUCGGAAACCAAGGAGUUUUGUCCAUGAUUCCAUUUUCUUAUCUGCAUGUAUUGAUUUUUUUUUUUUUAAUCACCCUGCAUUAAAACACCUCUAAUUCAUUUUGGUAUUCAGUCAGGUACUAUUAUUUUUACAGUAUACCAUUAGAAAACACAAUUAUCAAUUUUAAAAUGACCCAUACUCUGCAUGGGUCAAACUGUGUUUCUGAAGAAACAGUUUCUAAAGACCGCUGUUCUAUAUGAAACAAAAAUAUAAACGUCGAAUAUUGUUGCCAUGUGGAGUUAACAACUGUAAAUGAGCAUUUGCUGACAUUUUAUUGUACAAAAGUAAUAUUUCUCCUGAUUUGUGUAUAAUUUUUAAUCCAACUUGCUGUCAGUGAGCAUUACCCAGUGCAUGGGUGAGGCAUGUCCAGUGGGUGAUCAGACAAAAUGAGCAACAGCUGGACAAUCCUUGGACUGGGGACAAUAAAACGCCAACCCAAAAUGGAAAGUUUUGUCACAAGUCAUAAUGCCUCAGAUGUCUCAAGUUAUGCUGGGCAUGCCUUUGGCAUGUUGGAUGUAGGAACAUCCACCAGAGCAGUAGCUGCACGGCUCAAUAUCCAUUAUCGAACUAUAGGCCGUUUAAGAGUUUGUUUCUAACAGACUGGCACAACUGCUAAUCGACCUCAUCACAUGUCGGCCAUGUGUGACAACUCAGAACAAAAGGAUCACAGCUUAAAGGAGCAGUUAACUACAGGUAAAAUUAAAGACGAUACUUCCCAGAUAUUGCACAUUGUUAUAUUUCAUUUUGGUCUGUAUAAAUAUCUAGAAUGGGGAACAGAACAGAGUAACGCGAAGGAAUUUGCUGUCAGUUGAACAUAUUAUAUUGACUUUCACUGUUAAUUUAUUAGGUUUAUAAUUUUUCAUUUGUGAAAAUCUCAUGUAUGAUUAUGAGAAUAAUUGGGAAAUAUAUAUUUUAGGAUAGUUACGUAUUCAAUUGAUCUGCUAUCGUUCGCUCUUGUAACGGCAAUUUUUCUUUUGUAUGAUGUACUUCAAUUCCUCAUAAACCUCAAUAAAAAGAUGCUGUUUGUUUGGUGUGAGGUCUGGUGUACGCAGUUUAUUUAGCGUAGCAUUAGUGGAUCUGUGAUGGAUUUCAUUGGUCUCUUGAAGAAAUCUGUUGACGGACAUUCACCUGAAUUAUUUAAGCCUGGCUUAAUAGCUGCACCUCUUGAGCCUGGUUUGGUCUUUGAAACGGAUAGAGCCAGAAUGAACUGAUAGUGCUAUGUCAGGCCUAGCUAUCUCUCUUCUCCUGGAUUUCUGAAUCUUACCUUUGUGAAACAACCUUCAGGCAGCAAGCAACAAAAAUGAAAAGGAAAUUUUUAAAAUCAGGUUGACUUAACUAUGUCAGAGUUGUUAAUGGUUUGUUAUCCCUGAAGCAACAUAAUUGUUUUUCAGUGUAUGUUGAUUGUAUGUCAAAUAAACACUAUUUAAAUGUCCAUACCACACAGUGCAUACUUUGCUCAAGGCAAAGUAUGUCUGAAAUAAAGCCUGACAUAAUUUAAAGUCUAUAUUUUUCUUCUCUGUGUGUGAUUUGGAAUGUAGUUGAUGCAUUUACCUAAAUGUUCACAAACUUAUAAAGUUGAACAAAGGCAAUUUAGUAAACUACAAAUGCAGUUAACUACCUGGGGCAGCAGCAUCAGAAUCAGGGACCUAAAAAGACUCAACAGCCUGAUAAAGAAGGCUGGUUCUGUUCUGGGGGUGACUGGAGCCUCUGAAGAUGAUGAUGAAAAGAAGGAUCCUUCAUGAAAUCAAGGCGAUUAUAGACAACUCUGACCCUCCUCUUCAUGAGGCUGUCUUGGUAAAACUGUAGGACGUCAUACUAAUAGCGACUUCAACGCAACCUUUGGCCAAAUUGUAAUCUUUGUAUUUGGGGUUAAGGGUUUAUGUCUUCUGGAUUUCAUGCCACACAGUCUUCCGGUGACUUUUAUUUUGAAGGUUAAUCUGUUGUGUCGCCUUUCUGCUGUAAGGCAGUAGACCUCUAGUUGGAAAUGCGUGGCAUCGGUCUUCUUCAGGUUGUCUGUUUAGUUUCUCUUCGACUUCAGGCACUUUAAAACUACACGCCCCAUAUGUUAAGAAUGUAACUGAGGUAUCUGAGGAAAAGCGUACAAGGGCAGCAGCAGAUGUGAUAAGCUAACCUGGCUGAAAAGGUGUGAGAUUCGGAGUAAUGCCUUUCGGAAUACCAGGAGUCCAGGAAGUUCGUCUCGAGACCCCAAAAUUGAACAGUAGCUGGAAAUAAGCUUAGCUAGGUGUGAUACUGACUUACUGAAAACAACCUGGAGAGCCCACAGUGCUAUAAACAUAGCAAAAUGCUAUGUUUAUAACUGAUAACUGAUGACUGAUGGCUAUGUAUAGGAGAGAUACUGCUUGUCAAGGGCAGAUUUAGCAAUGUACAGAGGCCAAGCCGCCUCUUGAAUUGCUGAACGGGUUCAACACGCCUUACGGGUGUGUCUAGCCGGGAACGUUAUUUUUGUCCUGGCUUGAAUCUUCGAGGUAUAUUGGCAUUAGAGAAACUGCAGGGGGCGAUUAUCUCUCCAAUUCGUUUUGGUUAAACUUUUAAUAAGUAAUGUCUUCUAUAGUGGGAAGAGCGUGGGGGUGGGUGCGCUUCUGGGGUAGUUGUACCUCAGAAAAUACCCCUACGUUGUGCCAAAAGCAGCGUGCUAAAGGUAACUGGGGAUCUUGGAUGUGGGGAGGGUGGAGAAAAGGAAGUGACCAGAGUGCUCUAGGAGAGGAGUACUGGGAGGCACAGGAGAAAUUGCAACCCAUGGAAAUAGAAGAUCUUGGCUCAGGAAAACCAGAGACAGAGCUACAGGUGUCCAGUUGGUGGAGCAAAUAUCUCCCCACGUCAUAUCUGUGGUCAAGAAAACCUUCUCAAAGCAGCCUGAGACAAAGGAAAGGUGAUGUUGAUGGGGACUUUUCUGAUUAUGGAACCCCUCCCCCAUCUCCCACUCCUUCUCAGCUGACCUCUCCAUUCAGAUUUUUCACAGAUAGCUGGAAUUUGGAGAUUAUACCAGAGCACUAUGAGAUUUGCUUCAACUUCCUUCGGCAUUUGUUUGACCUAUUUGUAGUUGCCUUCCUGUGGACUGUGUCCCCUCCUGCCAAACUGAUCCUGGAGGUGUUUGGUGUCCAGGGAGCUCUCAGGCUGUGGUUUCAUGGCAUGGCCAUGUUUUUUGUCUCAACAGCUGGAAUGGCAGGAUUGCUGUGGUUGAUUCAGGAGUAUCUCCCUCAGUUUGCUUUGAUUUAUGGCAUCAUACAAGCAUUGGUGAUCUCUGUCAGUGUACGGCAAAGUGUAAUCCUUGGAGUGGAAGAAGACAAAGAAAAUAUCCAGGAGGUGAAAGAGACUGGUGAAAAGCAAGACACUGCAGACAAUGGAGAUAAGCUUUUUUCUAAGGAACUGCUGAAGACAAGCUUAGCCUAAGGUGAUGCAGGAAUCCAGCUGCUUCAGCCUUUCUCCAAAUGUUUGACUCCACAGACACUGACAGAUUGUGUAUACCACUAAAUUCAUUAGUUAUAAUCAUAGUUCACUUUGAUUUAGUUUGGAGAAGUUGUUUCUCUUUGUUUUGCCUGAAAUAGUGUCUGUAUUCUGCAAACAUCUACUCAUCACCGUGAAUGUUUAUAAUCCAACUGUAAAUGCUGAGAAUGCUGGGUAUAUGAGUGUUGAGGAGAUGCUACUGUAUGUCAAAUAACAGUCUAGAAAAUAGCCAGGACUUGGUGCCUGUACUGAUAUUUACAUUUAAUUUGUUGUCGUUUACUAUUCUCAUUGGCUCUCAAAAGUCUACUCCCACUUAUUAAAAUACCCAUUAUUGUGAUGUGAAAAAUAUGAUCAUGGUAAAUCAUUUAAAUAUUUUCCACAUAAUGACAUAUGUGCUGCACAGUUCAAGUGGAUAAUAAACAAAUGUGUUAAAAGGAAAAGUAUAAAAGGUCCAAUAACCCAGUUGCAGAAGUGUGUUUGUUCCACCUUUUUCUUUGCACAGUUAAAUCCUUUGUCCCCUCUGCAAAUUAUGGCUUUAGCUAAAGGUGGAGAAUGUUUGAAAUGAUUUAUCAUUGUCUCACUUUACAUCACAAAACCCUGCUGAUGUAACAGGUUUGUAGACUUUUAAGAGCCACUGUGAUGAACCAGCUGUAAGAUUUGAAAUUGAAACAAAUUAACAGGAAAAAUUCAUAAGACGCCAACAUACACUCCAAAUGUAAAUCAUCACCUUGCCUCUUAUUAAUCUUACUUUCCCCCAAGUGACAUGCAAUUAAGACAUUUUAGGAUUGCUAAGCAAAGGAUUUACUGAAGGUGAAUUUGGGAAGCACUAACUGCAUAUUUAGACUCACUACAACUUGUAGUGAGACUAAAUGCUCACUACAAGUUGAGUAUUUUGUACAAAUUGUAGUACAAGCACCACAACUUGUACAACUACAAUCUGAAAAUAAUCUGAAAAUAUCGAGCUCCUCUGCCUUCUCCUAGUGUUUCCAACACCACUCUGUCAGAAACAAGCAAUCAGCCUGGAGGAGGGUCUCUGUGCUGUCAAUCACACAUGUGCAUGCAAUGCUCUCUGCUAUAUCUUCUUCUCAAGAGCACAGCCUGCCAUGAAUGCCAAGGCUUGUUAGCAUUCAUGGCAGCAGAUAAACAGUUUUCCUUUAAUGUUAAGUUGUUUCUCCACCAUUUGCACAUUGAGUUGCGCAUACACAAGCAUGGUUGACAGUGCUAUGACACUCCUCUUUCUAGUUUUGAAUGAAAGCAGUGCAUUUCUUCAGAUGCCAAUAGCAGUACAGGAAGGAGGUGGAGGAGAUCAGUUCCUUCACAGAUUAUCUGUCUUACUGUCAUGACAUGUACAACUUUUUUUUAUUUUAUUUUAACAAAACUUUUUUUUUUUUUUUGAAAAAAAUGAAAGUUACAUACUGCAGCUUUAAAAGUCUGUUUAACAAAAGAGGACAAUCCAGUUGAGCCACAGUCUUGAACAUCUUAUUUUUUCCUGUUAUUACACUCUGGUAUUAGAACUUUAACACUACACACUUCAAACUAGAUUUUUUUUCUUGUGAUGUAUUUUGUUGGACUGCGGUUUCAUGUAAAGGUACCUUUGCUGUUGUGAAUUUCAGACUUUAGUUCAGGAAUUGAAAACCUAUGAGGCAUUUGGAGCAUCCAGUACAUACAUUCCAAAAUAUACUGUUCAUAUAAUCUAAAUAUGUCUUUUACUUUCCAUUGAUUAUAUAUUUGGAUUAUAAUAACAAUAUAGAUUAUGUGGAAAUACAUGAUUGGUUCAUUGUUUUCCAAGCUACAGAGAAACUAGCUUUACCUGAAAUAAAUUCUGCUUUCUCAACAUUUUAAAGGGUGCCUUGAACUUAAUUUUUGAAUAUAUUAAAGUAUUGGUUCUUAAAUGUUUCAUUUUCACAUGUUUUUUCAAACAGGUUUUUACUGUUGAAUGUUAAAGCAAUUGUCUUUUUCAGAAUUAUUAAACUAACAAGCAGCACAGUAAAGUAUUGUUGAUUCUUCAUGUUGACUCGAAGGCACCAAAAUGGAAAUUAAUAAAAUAAUCUGGUUUUAUUGCAUGAUUGCACUCUUAGCACUUUUCCUUUGUUUAGCCCGAGGAUAUGGAAUUAUUUGGAACUGUGUAGAUGCUUGCAAGACAUUGAAGCCUGUCCAGUGAAAGUUAUACGUCAUUGUUUUCAGGGCCAAUAAUACACAAUAAAGUUGGUAAUAAAAACUAGUGUUCAGUAUUUUCCUGAGCACAAAAGUAAUUGGAUUAAAUUAUUGUGAUGUGUGGUAGCAAACUAUUAGCUAUACACUGUACAUUGAAUUUUUGUUGGACUUUUUUUUUUAAAUCACAAAAAGGCUUGCUUAUAGGAAGUGUAUUUUUCAUGUUCUAUAAAUAUUCCAAAGGUGAAUGUAAGUGUUCCUGACUAAAACUGGAAGGGAAAUUUAAAGUAAACCUUUAAAUUUGUCUCACAGAUAAGCCUAUUGUAGCCUUUUCUCCACCUAAAUUUCUCCCAACUGUUUCAGUACAUUUAGGACAGACAACAUCCAAGGGUCUGUCUAUGCUAACCUUUUUUUAUGUUUGCUUGUGGUUGUGAAACUUUUUUUUUACAGUAAAACUAAGACCCAAGAUAUUUUUAAAUGAGCACCAUUGCACCUUGCAAGUGUAGAUCACUAUAGGGAGAGCCUCACUAUUGGCUGCACUGUGAAGUUAACUGAUGGACCUUAGAGAAGUACAAUAUGUGCUUUAUGUUGUUCUGUAAUAUCUGCAUAUGAAAGAUGUGAAUACUUUGUAAUUAAAGUCAAUCUUGCUUUAGAUUUA